RNAcentral lists this small RNA (591 nucleotides) under Pongo abelii (Sumatran orangutan). Its description in RNAcentral is "processed transcript". The record is from RNAcentral. Lineage: Eukaryota; Metazoa; Chordata; Mammalia; Primates; Hominidae.
GUGCUCCUGGAAGUGUCUUCGUUGUGCUGCUGGCGGCGUCAGAUAGGGCUGGAUCUAAAUCGCUAGCCAAGGCUCUGUCCUAGUACCUUUGGGUGUGUUUCCUUUAAGAAGAUGCAGCACCUGGACUGCGACCUGUGGCUCCAGCUGGAACUUUCCAGUCUGGGUCUCCGGCCAGUGUGGCCGUGCACCCAGUGUGUGCUUCUGGGGAACGGAGUGGCUAUGAAUCUGCAUCUAAAGACUUUGUCCCUCAUGACUUGGAGGUCCAGGUUCCUGGAAGAGUCUUUUUGGUCACUGGAGGAAACAGCGGCAUUGGCAAAGCAACUGCCCUUGAAAUCGCCAAGCGAGGUGGCACAGUUCACCUGGUUUGUCGAGAUCAAGCCCGAGCAGAAGAUGCCAGGGGUGAGAUCAUCCAGGAGAGCGGUAACCAGAACAUUUUUCUGCACAUUGUGGACUUGUCUGAUCCCAAGCAAAUCUGGAAAUUUGUUGAAAAUUUCAAGCAGGAACAUAAACUCCAUGUUCUGAUCAAUAAUGCAGGUUGCAUGGUCAAUAAAAGAGAGCUCACAGAAGAUGGACUUGAAAAAAACUUUGCUA